UACGAAGGGUGCAAGCGUUACUCGGAAUUGCUGGGCGUAAAGCGUGCGUAGGUGGUUUUUUAAGUCCGUUGUGAAAGCCCUGGGCUCAACCUGGGAAUGGCAGUGGAUACUGGAAAGCUAGAGUGCGGUAGAGGGUAGUGGAAUUCCCGGUGUAGCAGUGAAAUGCGUAGAGAUCGGGAGGAACACCAGUGGCGAAGGCGGCUACCUGGACCAGCACUGACACUGAGGCACGAAAGCGUGGGGAGCAAACAGG
RNAcentral lists this ribosomal RNA (253 nucleotides) under uncultured bacterium. RNAcentral describes it as "partial 16S ribosomal RNA". It matches the Rfam family "Bacterial small subunit ribosomal RNA", at positions 524 to 776 of the family's 1533-position model. The record is from RNAcentral.